Molecule: ribosomal RNA, 434 nt
Filed under: uncultured bacterium
Lineage: Bacteria
Description: partial 16S ribosomal RNA
Rfam family: Bacterial small subunit ribosomal RNA
Source: RNAcentral
AGCGAACGCUGGCGGCAUGCCUAACACAUGCAAGUCGAACGAACCUUUCGGGGUUAGUGGCGGACGGGUGAGUAACACGUGGGAACGUGCCUUUAGGUUCGGAAUAACUCAGGGAAACUUGUGCUAAUACCGAAUGUGCCCUUCGGGGGAAAGAGUUAUCGCCGUUAGAGGGGCCCGCGUCUGAUUAGCUAGUUGGUUGAGGUAAUGGCUCACCAAGGCGACGAUCAGUAGCUGGUCUGAGAGGAUGAUCAGCCACAUAGGGACUGAGACACGGCCCAAACUCCUACGGAAGGGAGCAGUGGGGAAUCUUGCGCAAGGGGCGAAAGCCUGACGCAGCCAUGCCGCGUGAAUGAUGAAGGUCUUAGGAUUGUAAAAUUCUUUCACCGGGGACGAUAAUGACGGUACCCGGAGAAGAAGCCCCGGCUAACUACGUG